UGCGCAGGCGGGCUUGUAAGUCAGUGGUGAAAUACUGCCGCUCAACGGUAGAACUGCCAUUGAUACUGCAAGUCUUGAAUAUGGUUGAGGUAGGCGGAGUGUGUCGUGUAGCGGUGAAAUGCAUAGAUAUGACACAGAACGCCAAUUGCGAAGGCAGCUUACUAAGCCAUUAUUGACGCUGAGGCACGAAAGCGUGGGGAGCGAACAGGAUUAGAUACCCUGGUAGUCC
This 229-nucleotide ribosomal RNA is filed under the name uncultured bacterium. Its description in RNAcentral is "partial 16S ribosomal RNA". It matches the Rfam family "Bacterial small subunit ribosomal RNA", at positions 568 to 796 of the family's 1533-position model. The record is from RNAcentral.